Molecule: ribosomal RNA, 374 nt
Filed under: uncultured bacterium
Lineage: Bacteria
Description: bacterial SSU rRNA
Rfam family: Bacterial small subunit ribosomal RNA
Source: RNAcentral
AUACGGAGGAUCCAAGCGUUAUCCGGAUUUAUUGGGUUUAAAGGGUGCGUAGGCUGCUCGAUAAGUUAGAGGUGAAAAUUCGUCGCUUAACGACGGACGUGCCUCUGAUACUGUCGGGCUAGCGAGAGAGUGCUGUGGGCGGAAUGUGUAGUGUAGCGGUGAAAUGCUUAGAGAUUACACAGAACACCGAUUGCGAAAGCAGCUCACAAACUCUUUUCGGACGCUGAGGCACGAAAGCGUGGGGAGCAAACAGGAUUAGAUACCCUGGUAGUCCACGCUGUAAACGAUGAUUACUCGUUGUCGGCGAUAUAGCGAUCGGUGACUAAGCGAAAGCGAUAAGUAAUCCACCUGGGGAGUACGUUGGCAACAAUGAA